GGUCGAACACUGGAGGGGUGGUGUGAGUGUGACAGUAGUUGUUCUCAGAAGACAGGUCAGUGUGUGUAGAGAGAACACGUUUGACCAGGUAGUCAGGCUUCUACUUCAUCGGCCUGGACCAGUACACCAAAGAGGCGGAGGACGCCAAGUUUGGACCAAUUAUGCUGAUGCCCCACUGUAAGAACCUGGAGAUCUGUACUGGUUCUGAGGGAGGUGACGUGGCCACAAACAGUGCCUGAGACAUUCCGGCGCCCGGGUCACCUUCCGGCGACUGGGACACCUUCUAGUGCUACUGUUGACUAGAGCAGGGGGUUCCCAAACUUUUUCACUUGGGGCCCCCCUUCCAGCAUUGGGGAACAUCCCACUCCCGCAGGCGUGCACACACACCAUGUCUAUUUCUAUGGACACAAGCACUGUUCAUGACACAAACUGUUCACACCCUUCUUGUUGUUGGAGAGAAUUUUGCAGCUGACAUGGGCUAGUUCAUCUGGACACUUCUGACAAGUUAUAAAUAGCUCUCUAAGGGGAGGGGCACAGUUUGGGAACCACUGGUCUAGAAAACAGCCAGAGGGUGGUCAAGACGUCUGCUGCAACUUCAUUUUUAGUAUGUCAGCUCUGUUGCACCUGGGAGCUAAAGGUAUGGCACCACACUCCCAACAGUCAUGUAUACUUAAACAUACUUGUAUGCUUAUUUAUGGAUUUCUUAAAGUGGCAAUACACACCAGUUGAAACAAUAACAAAGCGUGCUCCCUGCCCGUUUUGGUAAAAUGCUGAGGGAUGGGUCUGGAGAAAUGUAACCACUCUCAAAUUCAUAGACAGAGCUAUGGUGUCACACCCUGAUCUGUCACCUGUCUUUGAGCUUGUCUCCACCCCUUUCCAGGUGUCGUCCAUCUUCCUUAUUAUCCCCUUGGUAUUUAUAUCUGUGUUCUCUGUUUGUCUGUUGCCAGUUCGUUUUGUUUGUUAAACCUACCAGCGUACGUUCCCCUGCUCCUGUCUGUUUCUUGCUCCUGUUUUCUAGUCCUUCCCGGUUUUGACCGUUUUGCCUGCCUUGAGCCUGCCUGCCAUUCUAUACCUUGCCCCACCUCACUGGAUUAUUGACCCCUGCCUGCCCUGAACUUGAGGCUGCCUGCCGUUCUGGACCCUUUGCACCCUCUCUGGAUGACUGACCC
This 1169-nucleotide long non-coding RNA is filed under the name Salmo salar (Atlantic salmon). Its description in RNAcentral is "lncRNA (ENSSSAG00000110943.1)". The record is from RNAcentral. Lineage: Eukaryota; Metazoa; Chordata; Actinopteri; Salmoniformes; Salmonidae.